This 1778-nucleotide long non-coding RNA is filed under the name Pelobates cultripes (western spadefoot toad). Lineage: Eukaryota; Metazoa; Chordata; Amphibia; Anura; Pelobatidae. The record is from RNAcentral.
CCUAUUUACCAAAUAUUUUUUUACUUAGAAUUUUAAUAUGCUACCUACAUAUCUAUUAUAAUUUUACAUUUUUUUUUUGUGCACAAAAUGAACAAACAGCCUCGGUACGCCACAAUAGCGGUAUCAAGGUAUAAAGGAAUACAAUAUGCAUGACAGAUUGUGAUGUUCUAAAAUUAGGCACAUUUUUUAGUAAUGAGUAGAGGAUAGUUAAGCUGGAUAGUAGGUUUUAGUGUGAUGUGCUAAAUAAGUUGAGCUGAUGUUGAGUGUUAUUUAAGUAGAUCACGAGUAGUCAGAUAUGUGUUAGGUAGCUUACACAUUAAUUAUACGAACUGCGGGCUGAUUUAAACACAUUUGCUAGGUAAGAAAAUUGUAACAAACCGCUGGCACCCAUACCGACCUGCCAAGACUUAUGUAAAGUAAGUAUGGUAAAGUAAAUGAAAAACAAAGGCAUAAACAAAAGGAGAAAACAUGGGAUGAGGCACAGAAGGAGGAGAACCUUAGGCUCCGCCAUCUCCAUUAUGAUCUCUCCUGGUUGUAUGUAAUGGGAGUGUGGGGGAGUUAGACAGGUUAAAUACUAUGCUAUGUGGGUUGCAGGGUGUAAACAAUAGAGCAUAACAAUUGCAUUGGGUGUUUGCCUGUCCAUAGGUAGUAAGGGCCGUAUUAGACAGGCUGGUUUGGACACUGCAGUGUGUGGCCUGGCGUAGAGGGAGACCCAUGGCUGAGUAAGGUCCUGCAAUUCCAGCUAAUCAAUUCCCAUCAGUGGCGGUACAAAGUUCCCGUCAGUGGAGUGUCCGGUCAGGCAUUAGAGACAGGGACGGAGUGUGAGCUGCUGUGACAGCCUCCAAGGCUGCAAGGCCUUAUCUGUCCCUGAUGGGCCCAGGUAGGCGCCCGCACGUGGUGUAGCCCGCCACAUCACUGGGGUCGCGAUCCCCCUCCAUAUUGCUCUUCCGUAUGGUGGAUAGAAUCCCUCUCAGGGUGUGGGUUGUGCCGAAGGUGAAGGCUCACAUCCAGACCAUGAUGACGGCAUCUGACAGCCCUCCUCUGCUUCUUAACUUUCUGCCGUGUGGUAGGCUGUGGGCUUGGCAUUGCUCUGCUCAGUGUGAACUUGGGUCCUGGGGCUCUGUGGUUUACGGAGAGCCUCCCGGCUACUUGAGUGGCUGAGCGGGCGCACUCCUGUGUGGGCCUUCUGCUCAGGGUAGGAUGGAUGAGCUGCCGCUGCUGCUUUGUUUUCCGGUGUCGUAGGUGAGGCUUGAAAGGGAGGUCUGUGCUGUAAGCGCCUCCAGAACACUUGGCAGAUUUGCACACACCGGAUCUCGAAGUACAGUCUCCAUUGCUGGAGCUCUGGGCCCUCUUUAUUUUGCUGGAAGUGCAGCAUGGCGGCCAUCUUAGGUGCUUCGUGGGACCGGCUGCUUGGCAAGAUUUUCCCUUGUUGCAGGUGAGUAUAACCUUCCAGCGGGGACCGGGAUAUCCCCCACCGGUCCAUGGGGGGGUAGCGGGAGAACAGGAGAGCUGCUGUGCGGUGUGGACCACGUGUCGGGAGAUCGGCCACCUCCCCCAGCAUUCAGGCCGCUACCCUUGCUAGGCCUAAGACGCAUAUCACGGUAAAUCGACAAUAAUAGUGGCUUGUGUGGCGCCAAAAGAUUCAGAAGCACUUCACCUGUCUACUGGUAGCCCUUUUGUAGCAUUUUCUGGGCUGUGUUGUGCCGUUUUUCUGCUGUAUUAGUCAAGCAGAGCGGAGCUGUGUCUACAUGCGUCUGCUCAGCUCAGCGUUCAAGCCC